Molecule: long non-coding RNA, 1112 nt
Organism: Ahaetulla prasina
Lineage: Eukaryota; Metazoa; Chordata; Lepidosauria; Squamata; Colubridae
Exons: 3
Source: RefSeq, a predicted model, not a curated record
GCCAAUAAACCUUACUUCUGAGUAAAUAUAUUUGGUCUGCAAGUUCAUAUAAAAUAAGCCAUUAAUAGUUAUGUGGCUAAUCUAGGUGCAAACUCCUCUGUAAUAUCUUCCUACGUAAAUAAAUCCCCUACCAACAUAAUACAGUGACCAGCAGCGGGCAGUUCCCCUGGGAAGCCAAUGAGAAAUGCUGCACAACAUGUGUUUAGCCUCCCCUAAAUGGACACAAGAGGAGAGGCUGCUCACUGGAACAGUGUGGAGAAGAGGGAGGCACAAGAGAGGCUAAUGCUGAAAGCCUCUUUACAUCUGGGAUCAGUCUUGAAUUUUUAUUUAAGCAGAACGGAAGAUAUUUCAUUAUCCAGCUAGGUGACAUCUUCAGGGAAUAACUUCAAAUAUUCUCUUCUGUUGGAUGUUGAAGAUUCCGCAUCAGCCUGUGAAAGGAAACAGAUGCUCACGAAAGAAACGCCACAGAGAUCUGACCUGGGGUGACAGCGUGUGGGCCAGCAGAGAGGGCUCUGCGUGCCACCUCUGGUCCGCCUGCCAUUGGUUUGCCAACACGAUUAUACGGCAUCUGGAGGUUUGUUUUGUGAUCCAGGAAUAUUAAGAGAUAAUCAAAAUACGAAAUUGUGCCCACCUGAUUUGUCAAGCUAAAACUAUUCAGUGUUAUGCUCAUGAGCUCUGCAAUAAGCCAAGCUCCCUCAGUUUCUUUCCUGACUGCUCCAAUUUGCAUGGGUUACUGAAGACUAUUGGGAAGAAACCUAUGAGGCUGAGAAGAAGAGAGGCUGAAAAACCUUUUCCCCUUGCCAUUUCUGCCCAGCCUCAGUUCUGACAGUCAACCAUUUAUUAUCCGCAACACAUUCUUCCUAAUUAUUUGUGACGCCUUGCCUACACAGUUCAUCUCUGUUUGUCAGCAAGAACAUCUCUAAAUUGGUUAAUCAGAGACAGAUCAUUCCACCUUGUUUCUCUCGGCCUCUUUCAAAUGUUAUCUGAACAUUCUGUGUAACUCUAUUAAGGUCAUUUUCCUUACUCUUUACCCAGAUAUCUUUAUUUUUUAAAAAAAUUAUUUAUUUAUUUAUUUAUUGUCAAGCAUGUAUUUGAUAACAGAUACAAGUGUA